RNAcentral lists this long non-coding RNA (476 nucleotides) under Manihot esculenta (cassava). RNAcentral's name for it is "long non-coding RNA (MESC_LNC010383)". The record is from RNAcentral. Lineage: Eukaryota; Viridiplantae; Streptophyta; Magnoliopsida; Malpighiales; Euphorbiaceae.
UUUGCUAAUGGUAAUGUAAAAAUUUUGUAGCUGAUGUAUGAAGAAGCAAGUCAGGUGGCAAAUGAUGCAGUUGGAAGCAUUAGAACUGUUGCAUCAUUUUGUGCUGAGAAGAAAGUGAUGGAGUUAUACCAAAAGAAAUGUGAUGGUCCUGUAAAAAAAGGAGUUCGGCUCGGACUUGUCAGUGGUGCAGGUUUUGGCUUCUCGUUCUUUAUACUCUAUUGCACAAAUGCAUUCUGUUUCUACAUUGGAUCUAUUCUUGUACAAAAUGGGAAAGCAACAUUUGUAGAAGUUUUCAAAGUAAGAUAUGAAUUGGCCUCUUACUGUUUUCCUGGUUUUUUUUCCCUUGUUUUCAACUUACCUUCAAAAUUUCUCCAGGUUUUCUUCUCGUUGACAAUUGCAGCAGUCGGGGUUUCACAAUCCAGUGCAAUGAGUCCAGACAGUAGCAAAGCCAAGGAUUCAGCAGCUUCAAUAUUUUC